AGCAGCCGCGGUAAUUCCAGCUCCAAUAGCGUAUAUUAAAGUUGUUGCAGUUAAAAAGCUCGUGGUUGAAUUUCGGGAUUAGUACGUUGGUCGUGCCUUCGGUACGUACUGGUGUUACUGAUUCCUACCUUCUGACGAACCAUCAUGUCAUUAAUUUGGUGUGGCGGGGAAUCAGGACUGUUACUUUGAAAAAAUUAGAGUGUUUAAAGCAGGCUCGCGCUUGAAUACAUUAGCAUGGAAUAAUGAAAUAGGACAUUGACCCUAUUUUGUUGGUUUCUAGGAUUGACGUAAUGAUUAAUAGGGAUAGUUGGGGGCAUUAGUAUUCAAUUGUCAGAGGUGAAAUUCUUGGAUUUAUUGAAGACUAACUACUGCGAAAGCAUUUGCCAAGGAUGGUUUCAUUAAUCAAGAACGAGAGUUAGGGGAUCGAAGACGAUCAGAUACCGUCGUAGUCUUAACCAUAAACUAUGCCGACUAGGGAUCGGAUGAUGUUAUUUUUAAUGACUCA
This 505-nucleotide ribosomal RNA is filed under the name Glomus sp. MO-G5. RNAcentral's name for it is "SSU rRNA". It matches the Rfam family "Eukaryotic small subunit ribosomal RNA", at positions 569 to 1078 of the family's 1831-position model. Lineage: Eukaryota; Fungi; Glomeromycota; Glomeromycetes; Glomerales; Glomeraceae. The record is from RNAcentral.